AUCUAUGGCCAUGCCAUUCUGAAUGUGCCGGAUCUUGUCUGAUCUCAGAAGCUAAGCAGAGUUGAGCCUGGUUAGUACUUGGAUGGGAGACCACCUAGGAAUAUCAGGUUCUGUAGGCA
This 119-nucleotide ribosomal RNA is filed under the name Pteropus alecto (black flying fox). Lineage: Eukaryota; Metazoa; Chordata; Mammalia; Chiroptera; Pteropodidae. The record is from RNAcentral.